RNAcentral lists this long non-coding RNA (269 nucleotides) under Bos taurus (domestic cattle). RNAcentral describes it as "long non-coding RNA NONBTAT022435". Lineage: Eukaryota; Metazoa; Chordata; Mammalia; Artiodactyla; Bovidae. The record is from RNAcentral.
CUUUGGAUUUCUAAAUAGUUAGAAGAGGCAAAGGUUCUUACUCCUUUUUUUUUUCUUCUCUGAAUAAGCCAGAGAAAGAUUAAAGUAAUUUUGUCCAAGUCAGGAAGAAAAUUGAGAUUAUAUACCAUGUAUCAUGAAUAUACCCACUUUUUUAUUUUGCUGCUACUAUGGAUUUGUGAACAUUACCUUAGACUUAUGCCUCUUCUUCAUGUGAGUUUUAAAAUAUUGGCUGACAGGGUAAUCUAUAGUAGCUUUGAAGUAAGCAAAUA